RNAcentral lists this small RNA (113 nucleotides) under Marmota monax (woodchuck). Lineage: Eukaryota; Metazoa; Chordata; Mammalia; Rodentia; Sciuridae. The record is from RNAcentral.
GCCAGGAGCAGUGGUGCACACCUGUAAUCCCAGCAUCUUGGGAGGCUAAGGCAGGAGGAUCAUGGAUUCAAAGCCAGCAAGGCACUAAGAAACUCAGUGAAACCCUGUCUCUA